RNAcentral lists this ribosomal RNA (1097 nucleotides) under uncultured bacterium. RNAcentral describes it as "bacterial SSU rRNA". It matches the Rfam family "Bacterial small subunit ribosomal RNA", at positions 273 to 1387 of the family's 1533-position model. The record is from RNAcentral.
GCGACGAUCCAUAGCCGGCUUGAGAGGGUGAACGGCCACAUUGGGACUGAGACACGGCCCAGACUCCUACGGGAGGCAGCAGUGGGGAAUAUUGCACAAUGGGGGAAACCCUGAUGCAGCGACGCCGAAAAAAGGAAGAAGUAUCUCGGUAUGUAAACUUCUAUCAGCAGGGAAGAAAAUGACGGUACCUGACUAAGAAGCCCCGGCUAACUACGUGCCAGCAGCCGCGGUAAUACGUAGGGGGCAAGCGUUAUCCGGAUUUACUGGGUGUAAAGGGAGCGUAGACGGUGUUGCAAGUCUGAUGUGAAAGGCGGGGGCUCAACCCCUGGACUGCAUUGGAAACUGUGAUACUCGAGUGCCGGAGAGGUAAGCGGAAUUCCUAGUGUAGCGGUGAAAUGCGUAGAUAUUAGGAGGAACACCAGUGGCGAAGGCGGCUUACUGGACGGUAACUGACGUUGAGGCUCGAAAGCGUGGGGAGCAAACAAAAUUAGAUACCCUGGUAGUCCACGCCGUAAACGACAAAUAAAGGGUGUCGGGGGGCUGAGUUCCUUCGGUGCCGCAGCAAACGCACUAAGUAUUCCACCUGGGGGGUACGUUCGCAACAAUGAAACUCAAAGGAAAUGACGGGGACCCGCACAACCGGCGGAGCAUGUGGUUUAAUUAGAAGCAACGCGAAGAACCUCACCAAGUCCUGACAUCCUUCUGACCGCACCUUAACCGGUCCUUUCCUUCCGGACAGAGGAGACAGGUGCAGCAUGGUCGUCGUCAGCUCGUGUCGUGAGAUGGUGGGUUAAGUCCCGCAACGAGCGCAACCCUUAUCCUUAGUAGCCAGCGGUCCGCCCGGGCACUCUGGGGAGACUGCCACGGACAACCUGGAGGAAGGUGGGGAUGACGUCAAAUCAUCAUGCCCCUUAUGAUUUGGGCUACACACGUGCUACAAUGGCGUAAACAAAGGGAAGCGAUCACGUGAGUGUAAGCAAAUCUCAAAAAUAACGUCCCAGUUCGGACUGCAGUCUGCAACCCGCCUACACGAAGCUGGAAUCGCUAGUAAUCGCAGGUCAGCAUACCGCGGUGAAUACGUUCCCGGGUCUUGCACA